This 68-nucleotide transfer RNA is filed under the name Conus textile (cloth-of-gold cone). RNAcentral's name for it is "tRNA-Met". Lineage: Eukaryota; Metazoa; Mollusca; Gastropoda; Neogastropoda; Conidae. The record is from RNAcentral.
UGUAAAAUAAGCUAAAUAUUAAGCUUUUGGGUUCAUACCCCAAAUAUGAAUGGACUAUUCUUUUACAA